UAAACGGACCAUCGAGUAUCCAUUGGAGGGCAAGUCUGGUGCCAGCAGCUGCGGUAAUACCAGCUCCAAUAGCGUAUAUUAAAGUUGUUGCAGUUAAAAAGCUCGUAGUUGGACUUGUGUGCGCUGUCCGCGGGUGGCCUGCGCCCAAAAGGGCGUUUCGGUUCGGCCCCGGUGGCGCCUUGAAAUCUGCAGCUGGGGGGACGUUGGCCUUAACUGGUCGGCGACCGCACGCCGGCUGCUCGGUUACUGUGAGAAAAUUAGAGUGUUCAAGGCAGGCAUUGGGUGCAAUUGAAUACAUUAGCAUGGAAUAAUAAAAUAUGGCUCCUGCCGUAUUUUGUUGGUUUUGGCUGGUGGGAGUAAUGAUUGAUAGGGACGGUUGGGGGUGCUAGUAUUGAGCGGCCAGAGGUGAAAUUCAUGGAUUCGCUCAAGACUAACUUAUGCGAAAGCAUUCACCAAGGACGUCCUCUUUAAUCAAGAACGAAAGUUGGGGGAUCGAAGACGAUCAGAUACCGUCGUAGUCUCAACCAUAAACUAUGUCGACUUGGGAUCGGCGGUAGUUUUUUUCAUUAAGACACUGUCGGGACCACGGGAGAAAUCAAAGUGUCUGGACUCUGGGGGAAGUAUGGUCGCAAGGCUGAAACUUGAAGGAAUUGACGGAAGGGCACCACCAGGAGUGGAGCCUGCGGCUUAAUUUGACCCAACACGGGGAAACUUACCAGGUCCAGAGAUGUAGAGGAUUGACAGAUUGAAGCUCUUUCUUGAUCACUUCGGUGGUGGUGCAUGGCCGUUCUUAGUUGGUGGAGUGAUUUGUCUGGUUAAUUCCGUUAACGAACGAGACCUCAGCCUGCUAGUGUAGUCGGCUGGAUUGCCUUUGGCGAUCCGUGAUUUCGACUUCUUAGAGGGACAAUCGACGCGCAGUCGAUGGAAGUUUGAGGCAGUAAUAGGUCUGCGAUGCCCUUAGAUGUUCUGGGCCGCACGCGCGCUACACUGCUGGGCUCAGCGAGUUUUACUUGGCCGAGAGGCCCGGUUAAUCUUGGAAAUCCCAGCGUGCUUGGGCUCGCCUCCUGCAACUGGAGGCGCCAACGAGGAAUUCCUAGUAGACGCAGGUCAUCAACCUGCAUCGAUUACGUCCCUGCCCUUUGUACACACCGCCCGUCGUUCCAUAAGAGUGAGGCAUCCGGUGAAUUCUCGGGAGAGCCUGGGCGUGGCCAGCAAUGGUCUGCUCGGGUUUGAACUUGCAUAAACUUGGUGCCUAUGAUUAGGG
RNAcentral lists this ribosomal RNA (1264 nucleotides) under metagenome. RNAcentral describes it as "SSU rRNA". It matches the Rfam family "Eukaryotic small subunit ribosomal RNA", at positions 526 to 1783 of the family's 1831-position model. The record is from RNAcentral.